UCUGUUCUCUGGGAGGCAGUUUAAAUACCCUGUUAGAGUGAUAAUGAGCAUUUCUGGGGGAGGGGUCAUCAUUUGUCAGGCUUUCUGAGAUGCAGGAGGAUUUGGGGGCAGAUGUGGGAGGGGGCUUGGGUGGAACCUCCACCAUAACAUCCCAGACUUUUUGGGUAUAUGGAUGCCAGGGGCUGGGGCAGAUCUUUCACCAUAACAGCUUUGUUUUGUUUGUUUUUAAACAUCUACUUAUUUACUUGAGAGCACGUUUGGAGCAGAGGAGAGAUUACUUGUAAAUUCUUGGCUGAAGUCAGUUCCUUCUCUAUUAGUGAAAGGCAGUUCUCUUCCACGAGUCCAGCCUGGCAAUCAAUGAGGUGACAUGUCACAGCCAGAUCGCCCUCAAACCUAUCUCAACUCUGCAACCUGGGCUCCUCCCUGUCUUACAGCAGAUAGAGAGGACCCUAUCAAACCAAAGAUCUGAGCCUGUUGGGCUUGAAGUCAGACUCUGAAGUGCCUGUCCUGUGCCUACCCCCCUGCAUUUGGGCCAUGAGCAGCAAAGCAUACAAGACCCCUGGGUCUUGGUCACAGUUCGAAUUUUCAUUCUUAGCACUGCUACAGUAAGGACAUUCAGACACUUCUGAAAUGAUGGCUCAUUUGAAAUUAACCUUUUCCAGAACUGAAAGAUUUACAAAAACUAUACAAACACAGGAACAAGGUGGACAACAAGCCCAAUCUAAAAGCCAGGAAAAAGAAAGAAAGAAAAAGAAAGAAAGAAAGAAAGAAAGAAAGAAGAGAAAGAAAGAGAGGAAACUGCACCAUUUGUCAGAUUCAACCAUUGAGGGACAUCACAUUGUGGCCCAUUACGAUGCUAUGUACUUGAAGGCCAAUUAGAAGUCAUUAGAGUUAUGAGAAGGUGCUAAUAAAAUAGGCUUGUGCAAAAUAAUGCAUUACUUACUGAGGCCUGAGUUAAACUCAUGGAUGUCUUGUGGAAAUUGAAAAUCAUACUUGAUUGCUUCUACAAAUAUUUUAUUACAUUUUGUUACAUCUUUUGUGAUGAGUGUGUGUACCAUAGCACUAAUGUGGAAGUCAAAGGACAGAUUGUGGGAAUUGGUUCUCUACUUCUGCCAUGUGGGUUGAUAGGAUGGAAUUUACAUCAUCAGGCUAGAAGAUGGCAGGAGCCUUCAUCUGCUGAGCCAACUCAGCAGCUCCAUACGCAAUGCAAAAUUCACAUGAAGUAAUGUUCCUGUGAAUUUCAGACAAAUGAUCUUCCAGAUGUUUCUCUGUGUAGCUCUGGUUGUCCUGGAACUAGCUCUGUAGACCAUGCUGGCUUUGAACUCCGAGACCUACUUGUCUCUGCCUCUUGAGUACUGGGAUUAAGGGCCUGUGCUACCACCUGAAAUAUUUAAACUCAUAACCCAUUAUCUGCUAGGCAAGUGCUGUACCAGAGCUAUAGUCUCAACCUUUUUUAUUCAUUUACUUUUGUUUAGAUUUUAGUUUUUAUUUUCUAUGUGAGAAGCUUAAGGUUUAUAAAUUUUAUCCUGCUCUAAUUUUUGUUUAGAUUUUAGUUUUUACUGUUUUAAAUUAUGUAUGUGUGGGCUGAAGAGAUGGCUCAGAAGUUAAAAAGCACUGACUGCUCUUCCAGAGAACCCAGGUUCAAUUCCCAGCACCCACAUGGCAGCUCAUGUGUGUAACUCCAAGAGCUGACACCCUCACAUAGACAUACAUGCAGGCAAAACACCAAUGCAUAUAGAAUAAAAAUAAAUUAAAAAAAAUUUUGUGUGUAGACACCUGGAGCGGCCAGAGACAUCAGAUCUCUUGUAUCUGGAGUUACCAGUUGUAAGCCACAUGUCAUGAGUGUUAGGAACUGAAAUUGGGGGUGGUGGUAGUGCAUGCCUUUAAUCCCAGGCCAGCAUGGUCUACAAAGUGAGUUCCAGGACAGCCUGGUCUACACAGAGAAACCAUGUCUUGAAAAACAAAAACAAAAAGCAAAACAAGCAAACAAAAAACUUUGGGGGCUGGAGAGAUGGCUUAGAGGUUAAGAGUACUAGCUGCUAUUCUAGAGGACCCAGGUUGAAUUCCCAGCACCCACAUGGUAGCUCAGAAUUGUCUUUAACUGCAGUUGAUCCCACACUGUCACACAGACAUAUAUGCUGGCAAAACACCAAUGCACAUGUAAUUAAAAAUAAAUAUUAAAAAACAAGAAAGAGUUGGGCGUUGGUGGCACACACCUUUAAUCCCAACACUUGGGAGGCAGAAGCAGGUGGAUCUCUGUGAGUUCAAGGCCAGCCUGGUCUACAAGCGCUAGUUACAGGACAGCCUCCAAAGCCACAGAGAAAACCUGUAUCGAAAAAAAAAAAAAAAGAAAGAAAUUGAAAUUGAGUCAUUUGUAGUGUGUGUUCUUAUUAAUCCCUGGAGGCAUCUCUCUAAUCCCUUGUUUGUUUCUUUUGAGACAGGGUUUCUCUAUGUAUUCCACAAUCCCCUGGAAUGCACUAUGUAGCUAAUAAUGCUCUUAAGUUCACGUCCUCCUACUUUAGUUUCUUCGUUUCCUUUUUUAAUUUUUUUUUUUUUGAGACAGGUUUUCUCUUUGUAGCCCUGCUGUCCUGGAACUUGCUCUGUACACCAAGCUGGCCUUAAACUCAUAUAUCCACUUGCCUCUGCCUCACAAAUUCUGGGAUUAAGGCAGGUAGCACCACCACUUGGCUUGUUUCCUUAUUUUUAAUGUGCUUACCAAUUUUCCCAAAGCUGCCUUGCUUCUGUCCAAUCCAUAGCUGUUUCCAUAUUUCAAUAUUAUAUAGUUUUUAUGUUCUAUGUGAGAAGCUUAAGGUUUAUAAAUUUUAUCCUGCUCAAGAAACCUUUAUAGUCAUUCAUUGUAAAAAUCUUAAUCUAGGACUCUGGAGGCAGCUCAAUUGGUAGAGCACUUGCCUGGCAUGUGCGAGAGCCUGGGUUCCACCCCCAGAAACCAAGGGUGAUAGAGCAUUAUCUGUAAUCCCAGCUUGCCAGUGGUAAAAGUGGGAGGUUCAGAAGUUCAAACUUAUCGUUGGCCAUACCGUAAGUUCAAGAUGAGCCCAGGACACACCAGACCCUGUCUCAAAAGAAAAAAAGAAAAGAAAAGAAAAGAAAAAAGAAGAAAAAGAAAGAAAGGAAGGAAAGAAAGAAAGAAAAAAAGUUGUAUCUGUGUAAUUACAACUUGACUUGUAAAAAUUUAAGCUAUUCCUGAACUCGAAGCAAUUUCGUCAACACACACUGGGCGAUAAGGUAAUUUCCUGAAAUGCAGUGUUUUGCUGUUCUAUGCACAGGUACAAGAUCACCAUCCACAAUCUUCCCUUGCUCCUUUCCCGAAAGCUCCUGCCAACCACUGUUCAGCGUUUUUGACUCUGAAUGUGGGAAUGCCCUACCAGUGUAGCCACACAGUUUACAUCUGUUUCUGGCUCAUUUCAUCUGGAGGAAGAUUCUCAAAGCCCCUCAUAUCUCCUUCUCUUAGAGGCUGAGUAGCUUUCCAGCGUCUGCCCACACACAAUAUGCUUAUCUGCCAUCAAGAGACAUUUGCUUCCACGUUCUCGCUACGGCAAUCCUAAUGGACACGAGGUGGUGGCAUCUCAAUGUGACUUGGGCUAUAGUCCUUUAAAGAGGCUGGAAGAGGGCACCAGAUCACCUGGAGCUGGAAUUACAGACAGUUGUGAACUGCCAUGUGGGUGCUGGUAAUUGAACCCUGGUGCUCUGGAAGAGUAGCCAUUGCUCUUAACUGCUGAGCCAUCAUCUCGCCAGCCCUGCAGGUGUAAUUUUUAAGAAGAGAAAAAACCAGGAAGUCUGUGUUAGAAAUCUGUGCUGUGGUGUGUUUUGAUUGGGCUUUUGAUGGCUGGACUUUAAUACUUUGAUAGAUGGACCUUGGUAGUCAGUCUGAGGAGAAGAAGUGGCAGCUAGCUUUGGGAAUGUAAUCUAACAGUUUUUUUUUUUUUUUCUUUUGCAAGGCAGAGGGAAUAGGAGAGAAAAGCAGGACUUGCCAGAAUCAUGCUUGCUCUGCUAGAGCUGGCCAGAAUCCCUUCAACAAACAAACAAACAAACAAACAAAAAACAAAUAAACAAAAAAAAUGUGAGAAAACAGUCACAAAUCCCCAAAGGAAUAUUUUAUAGAAUACAGAACACUUUAAAUCAGUAAUAAAUAUAGGGGAGGGGGGAAGAGAGUUGAAUGGGCAUUUCUCCCAAGCCAAAAAAAAAAAAAAAAAAAGCUCAUUAUUAAACAUUAGAAGGCAAAUUUAAACCAAAUUGAAAAACUGCUACAAGCCUAUUGUAAUGGAUCAAAUGUAAAAGGAAGUAAUAAUGAUGUUAUUGAGUGCAAGUAAAAAUGUAGGACUUGGGUCAGCAAGAUGGCUUAAAAGGUGCUUGCCGAGCAACCUGAGUUUGAUCUCGGGAACCCAUGGUGGCGAGAACCUACCCUAAAAGUUGUUCUCUGACCUCUACAAGCCUGUAUGUGUGCACCCAAGCACACACACACACACACACACACACACACACACACACUUAAUAGUAAUAAUAAAAUUAAAGUUAACAAAAAAGAUGCAGAGUUUAGCUGGGUAUACCAGCAUAUACCUAUAAUUACAGCUCUUGGGAGACAGAGACAGGAAGACCGAGAGUUCAGUACCAGUUUGGGCUAUGUGAAACUUGUCAUAAAACAAACAGACAGACAUACAAACAUAUAGCAAUAAAUACAAAGAGCCUUAGCUUUCCUGGAAUUUCAGUGCUGAUAGAAUGCAAAAUGGUACAGCCACUUUGUAAUAUAUAUAAAAGGAACAUCCAGACUGAUUUCUGUUUUAUUAUUAUUAAAUUUAUAAUUAAAUAACUUAUUAAAAUAUUAAAUAAAAUUAUAGAGUGUGUGUGUGUGUGUGUGUGUUAUUUUAACAGGGUCUCUAUUCUGUAGCUCUGGCUUUCCUGGAACUCAAUAUUUAGAACAGGCCAGCCUUGAACUCACAGAGAUCCACCUGCAUCUGCCUCCUGUGUGUUGGAAUGAAAGUCUUGCACUACCACACUGGCAUUUUUAUUACUAUUGUGCAUGGCGGGGUGAGGAGAUCACCAGCCCCUAACAAUGGCUCCGGACAGUUUCUUACAGUGUUAUACACUUACUUAUGAGGCCCAGUGUUUCCACUUACUCCUUGUAAACCUUGGAGAAUGGAGACAUUCAAUAUUUACGGGUGGAAAUCACACACACAUAUAUGAGUGAAUUCUUUUUUUUUUUUAAUUUAUUUAUUAUGUUUGCAGUAUUCUGCCUGCAUGUACACUUGCAGGCCAGAAGAGGGCUCCAGAUCUCAUUACAGAUGGUUGUGAGCAACCGUAUGGUUGCUGGGAAUUGAACUCAAGACCUUUGGAAAAGCAGGUAGAGCUCUUAACCGCUGAACCAUCUCUCCAGCAACCCCCUCCCCCAAUAUAUGAAUAAAUGUGGAUUAGCCAUGUCAUGGUCACCCCUCAUCAAAAACAAUGAAUUAAAAUAUGAACAUCAUGCCUGUGGCAGACUGAGUGCAAUGAGUCUUUGCUUUCUGGGGCGUUCACAAGGGAUGUUGCUCUAGACAGUCACUCAUACCCUCAG
This 5566-nucleotide long non-coding RNA is filed under the name Cricetulus griseus (Chinese hamster). Its description in RNAcentral is "lncRNA (ENSCGRG00015038558.1)". The record is from RNAcentral. Lineage: Eukaryota; Metazoa; Chordata; Mammalia; Rodentia; Cricetidae.